GCAGAACCGGUGAAGAUUUGGGCACGGGACGAGGCGGCCGCGACCCUGCCGGAGUCCGGGGGGGACCUCCAGAAACCCGGGGGGUCCCUGACUCUCGUGUGCCGCGCAUCCGGCUUCAAUUUCGGGAGUUUCAGCAUGUACUGGAUUCGCCAGAGCCCCGGGAAGGCUCUGGAAUACGUCGCCAGUAUCAACAGCAAUGGUGGCAGCACCUACUACGCGCCAUCGGUCAAGGGCCGGUUCACGAUCUCCAGGGACAACGGGCAGAGCUCGGUGACGCUGACCAUGACCAACCUCAAGGACGACGAUUCCGGCUCCUAUUUCUGUGCCAGAGCUGCUGCUGCUUGGGCUGGUGCUGCUGGUGGUUAUGAUGUUGAUGACUUCCACCCCAUCCCCAUCACCGCGUCCCCACCCACACCCAAAUGUCCCCAGACCCUUCCCCAAGACUCCAACCCUUGA
This is a non-coding RNA of Cinclus cinclus, 456 nucleotides long. Lineage: Eukaryota; Metazoa; Chordata; Aves; Passeriformes; Cinclidae. The record is from the annotation of a RefSeq genome assembly.